Molecule: ribosomal RNA, 373 nt
Filed under: uncultured organism
Description: bacterial SSU rRNA
Rfam family: Bacterial small subunit ribosomal RNA
Source: RNAcentral
CGGGGGGAGCAAGCGUUGUUCGGAUUUACUGGGCGUAAAGGGCGCGUAGGCGGCGCAACAAGUCACUUGUGAAAUCUCCUGGCUCAACUAGGAGCGGCCAAGUGAUACUGUCGUGCUAGAGUGCGGAAGGGGCUACUGGAAUUCUCGGUGUAGCGGUGAAAUGCGUAGAUAUCGAGAGGAACACCUGCGGCGAAGGCGGGUAGCUGGGCCGACACUGACGCUGAGGCGCGAAAGCCAGGGGAGCGAACGGGAUUAGAUACCCCGGUAGUCCUGGCCUUAAACGAUGGAUACUUGGUGUCCGGGGUUACAUAGUCCCCGGGUGCCGGCGCUAACGCAUUAAGUAUCCCGCCUGGGGAGUACGGUCGCAAGACUG